Molecule: small nucleolar RNA, 87 nt
Organism: Argentina anserina (silverweed cinquefoil)
Lineage: Eukaryota; Viridiplantae; Streptophyta; Magnoliopsida; Rosales; Rosaceae
Product: small nucleolar RNA SNORD24
Exons: 1
Source: RefSeq, a predicted model, not a curated record
GGCCAAUGAUGUCAGAUCUAUAUUUGCUACUCUUGAUGGGAUCUGAAGAUCCUAAUUGAUUAUGCUUUACCACCAAGAUCUGAGGCC